GUCCACGCCUAACGAUGUCAACUGGUUGUUGGGAAGGUUUCUUCUCAGUAACGUAGCUAACGCGUGAAGUUGACCGCCUGGGAGUACGGCCGCAAGGUUGAACUCAAAGGAAUUGACGGGACCCGCACAAGCGGUGGAUGAUGUGGUUUAAUUCGAUGCAACGCGAAACCUUACCUACCCUUGACAUGUCUGGAAUUUUGCAGAGAUGUGAAAGUGCUCGAAAGAGAACCAGAACACAGGUGCUGCAUGGCCGUCGU
Molecule: ribosomal RNA, 257 nt
Filed under: uncultured bacterium
Lineage: Bacteria
Description: partial 16S ribosomal RNA
Rfam family: Bacterial small subunit ribosomal RNA
Source: RNAcentral